UAUUUUAACAUUUAUUUUUAUUUAUGUGCAUAUUUGUUUAUUCAUGUGUGUGCCAUGUACACAGGUGCCCUAGGUGGUCAGCUGGAGUUAUGGCAGCUGCGAGAGAGUUGACAUGGGUGCUGGGAACAGAAAACAAGACCCCUGGAGGAGGGGCAAGUGAUCCUAACUGCUGAGCUAUUUCUCCAGCCUCCAGUUAAAAUUCUUAAUAAUGUAUCUGUAUUAUUUAAUAAGCUGUGUAUUUUUGAGCCAUGGCACCUUCAGAGACCAUGCAGUAGCAAGUAGAGGCCUCUUCUAUCCCCUCCACCUACUUACUAGCAACAAUAUUGAUCUUUUCAGUGCUAAGGAUCAAAUCCAGGGCCCCGAGGGGUGUUCUGCCACUAUAGACCCAGACACUUUUAAUAACAAUAAUUUAUUAUUGCUUGGUUUGAUACAGGGCCUUAAUAUGUAGAUUUGGCUGACCUAGGACCUGCCAGACAGACCAGGCUGGCACAAAUUCAUGCCUGUCCUCCUGUCUUUACCUCUCAAGUGCUGGGAUGAUAGUUCUGUGUCACCAUUUCCAACCUCAAUAAUAUUAAUUUUUCUCAAGAAUAAUUUCACAACAAAAUUGCCCUAUGGAUUUUCUAAGUCAGGGAUUUUCUAUAUGACACUAAUUGAAAUCGACUGGAUAGUUAAACAGGCGGUUUUAGACUUAGUCCUAUUGAGAAUCAGAGUGAGCCAUGGCCUGGGACAACAGUAAAUUACCUUGGAAUAGUCUGUGAAUAGCCUGACAUUUGAUUCUUUUUUGAGCAUGGAGAACACUUUUUGUUAGUUUACUUACUCAGUAAUAGACUCUUUUGAAAAGCUGGCACCCAGAUGUCAAGAUGCAUUCUUAAUUUUUUUUUUAAAGGUUCAUUUUGUUUUUCUAAGACUCCACGUUUAAAACACCAUCUGUAAACCUGCAUUGCAUGAAGGUCUUUUUGGGUGAGAGCUCUCAGAAGGAAUAGACACGGAUGUCUUCACUACAUCUCAGUAGCUUUACCACGAUUUGCUGUGUAACUGUGGACACACUGAUGCUCUUCCUGAGCACAGACGGUAUCCGGUAUUCCUAUGAUGGGGAGAACAGUGCUGAAGGGGCUGUAGGUACACGCCCCCUCUCCCUCACCUCUGCUGUAGGUACACGCCCCCUCUCCCUCACCUCUAUUCUAGGUGACUGGAAGUUUGUGGGAAGGAGCAACGAGAGGGAUAAUGGAAUGCCUGUGAUCUGAAGGUGGGCGGGCCAAAUGAGAAAGGAAAGCCGCAAUGAUGGUGGGACAUAUGGGGCACAAGGUAGACAGUGGGUGAAGGGGACAAAUUAGAACACGAUGCCAUGGACACAAGUGUAAUGAAAAUGCCGUGGUGAAACCUAUUGUUUUGUAUGCUAAAUUAGUUAAAAACAAAACAAAACAACAAAAAACAAUAAACCUAGUAAGCAUG
This 1452-nucleotide long non-coding RNA is filed under the name Mus musculus (house mouse). Its description in RNAcentral is "long non-coding RNA chr7:102492271-102493723". The record is from RNAcentral. Lineage: Eukaryota; Metazoa; Chordata; Mammalia; Rodentia; Muridae.